CGAGUGGCGGACGGGUGAGUAAUGUCUGGGAAACUGCCUGAUGGAGGGGGAUAACUACUGGAAACGGUAGCUAAUACCGCAUAACGUCGCAAGACCAAAGAGGGGGACCUUCGGGCCUCUUGCCAUCGGAUGUGCCCAGAUGGGAUUAGCUAGUAGGUGGGGUAACGGCUCACCUAGGCGACGAUCCCUAGCUGGUCUGAGAGGAUGACCAGCCACACUGGAACUGAGACACGGUCCAGACUCCUACGGGGAGGCAGCAUG
RNAcentral lists this ribosomal RNA (261 nucleotides) under uncultured bacterium. Its description in RNAcentral is "partial 16S ribosomal RNA". It matches the Rfam family "Bacterial small subunit ribosomal RNA", at positions 92 to 353 of the family's 1533-position model. The record is from RNAcentral.